Macrobrachium nipponense is the source of this 738-nucleotide long non-coding RNA. RefSeq lists it as uncharacterized. Lineage: Eukaryota; Metazoa; Arthropoda; Malacostraca; Decapoda; Palaemonidae. The transcript has 3 exons. The record is from RefSeq and is a predicted model, not a curated record.
ACAUAGAAAUUGAUGUCCUAAAAACUAUUUUUUGGAAGGAGAAUAUUACCAUUCACGGACGUUGGAAUCCUGAAUAAAGGAAGAAAUCGGCAAACAGCACCCUACAGAUUUCAACAAUUCAUUCCCAAUCAUACUCAAAAUCGCGUCCCCACUUCUCUAUUACUGUUGACACAACACAAUUUCUCAGACAUAUUAUUUUUUCAUUUUUUUUUUUUUUACCAUUCCAUUCACUUGGAAUUUCAUAUAUGAAGUUCAUUCCAAAGCCACACCUGUCACAGUACAUUUUAAAACUUUCCUUAGCUAAUUUAAUAUUUCUAUUCAGCCUUUCACAGAUUUUCUUCAGGUGGUGGAUGGUGUUGUCUGAGAACAUCCGAUUAUAAAGGACGAUCAACUUUAUGAAAUAUCUUCAACAUGAGAGUAGUGAAGGUGUAGGCGUGGGUUGUUGAGCCAGCGCUGGACACAGCAGUGACCCUCAGGGAAUAAGUGGUGGAAGGAUCCAGCCCUUCAAUCUCCACCUUGCUGUCCUGGGGACCUCCGCUGGACACUAAAAAGGACCAGAGGAAAUCGUCAGAGGCUUUGCCUUAACUUUCUUAGGGAUGGUGUUGGUGAUGGAGCUGGCGAUAUUCAAGGACCAUGUGCGUGAUGGGACACCCCUGGGCCAUCCACGCCUUGGGGAAGACGGUGACGCUCGAGGAGUUGGGCGUCAGGAAAUGAGACAGCUGAGGGGGUUGAGGUGGA